GGCCCACCUGGCCCUCAAGCAGAGAAGGGCAGCGAAGGGAUUCGAGGCCCAUCAGGCCUGCCUGGCUCCCCUGGGCCACCGGGACCUCCUGGGAUUCAGGGCCCCGCCGGUCUGGAUGGUUUGGAUGGGAAGGACGGCAAGCCUGGCUUGAGGGGGGACCCUGGUCCUGCUGGCCCCCCUGGACUCAUGGGACCACCGGGCUUUAAGGGGAAAACAGGACAUCCUGGCCUCCCAGGACCUAAGGGUGACUGUGGCAAACCAGGUCCCCCUGGCAGCACUGGCCGGCCUGGCGCAGAGGGUGAACCUGGUGCCAUGGGACCCCAGGGAAGACCCGGUCCCCCGGGACACGUUGGGCCACCAGGGCCUCCAGGCCAGCCAGGACCAGCUGGGAUCUCUGCAGUGGGUCUGAAAGGAGACCGAGGAGCCACCGGAGAAAGGGGCCUUGCAGGCCUCCCAGGCCAGCCCGGCCCCCCUGGACACCCUGGCCCCCCAGGCGAACCUGGUACGGAUGGUGCAGCUGGCAAAGAGGGACCCCCUGGAAAGCAGGGAUUCUAUGGACCUCCUGGUCCCAAGGGUGAUCCAGGAGCUGCAGGACAGAAGGGCCAGGCAGGAGAGAAGGGGAGAGCCGGCAUGCCUGGUGGACCUGGCAAGAGUGGUUCCAUGGGGCCUGUUGGGCCACCGGGCCCUGCAGGAGAGAGAGGCCACCCUGGAGCUCCGGGGCCUUCGGGGAGCCCUGGCUUGCCUGGUGUGCCUGGCUCCAUGGGAGACAUGGUGAAUUAUGAUGAAAUCAAGAGGUUCAUCAGACAAGAGAUCAUUAAAAUGUUUGAUGAGAGAAUGGCUUACUACACCUCCAGGAUGCAGUUCCCCAUGGAGAUGGCGGCAGCUCCGGGACGACCAGGGCCUCCAGGGAAGGAUGGUGCUCCGGGCAGGCCAGGUGCUCCAGGGUCACCUGGGCUCCCUGGUCAGAUUGGCAGAGAAGGACGGCAGGGCUUGCCAGGAGUAAGAGGAUUGCCUGGUACCAAAGGUGAAAAAGGGGACAUUGGUAUUGGCAUUGCAGGAGAAAAUGGUCUUCCCGGCCCCCCAGGUCCUCAAGGUCCUCCAGGCUAUGGCAAGAUGGGUGCAACAGGACCAAUGGGCCAGCAAGGCAUCCCUGGCAUCCCUGGGCCCCCGGGUCCCAUGGGCCAGCCAGGCAAGGCUGGCCACUGUAAUCCCUCUGACUGCUUUGGGGCCAUGCCGAUGGAGCAGCAGUACCCACCCAUGAAAACCAUGAAGGGGCCUUUUGGCUGAAAUUCCCCACCUGCCUUUGGAUGAAAGACUCCGUUGGGAAUAAAUGGCCAAAGCUUAUAGGACUCUGUGACAGGUUGUGAAUGUUUUUUUUGUUGUUGUUGUUGUUUUUAAUUGCUGUUAAUAUUUUUUAAAUAAUAAAGAAACAAAACU
This 1437-nucleotide long non-coding RNA is filed under the name Homo sapiens (human). Its description in RNAcentral is "long non-coding RNA NONHSAT151368.1". The record is from RNAcentral. Lineage: Eukaryota; Metazoa; Chordata; Mammalia; Primates; Hominidae.